AGUGAACGCUGGCGGCGUGCUUAACACAUGCAAGUCGAGCGGAAACGAUGAUAGCUUGCUAUCAGGCGUCGAGCGGCGGACGGGUGAGUAAUGCUUGGGAAUAUGCCUAGAGGUGGGGGACAACAGUUGGAAACGACUGCUAAUACCGCAUAAUGUCUACGGACCAAAGGAGGGGCUCUUCGGACCUUUCGCCUUUAGAUUAGCCCAAGUGAGAUUAGUUAGUUGGUGGGGUAAAGGCCUACCAAGGCGACGAUCUCUAGCUGGUUUGAGAGGAUGAUCAGCCACACUGGGACUGAGACACGGCCCAG
This 308-nucleotide ribosomal RNA is filed under the name uncultured Thalassomonas sp. RNAcentral describes it as "bacterial SSU rRNA". It matches the Rfam family "Bacterial small subunit ribosomal RNA", at positions 29 to 334 of the family's 1533-position model. The record is from RNAcentral. Lineage: Bacteria; Pseudomonadati; Pseudomonadota; Gammaproteobacteria; Alteromonadales; Colwelliaceae.